GAAAGUUGAGGAUCCUUGCUGAGACAUAGCUGUCGGACGAUUUCCAUCUGGCUGGCUGUUUUCGAUUGCCAAAAAUUUUGCAGUCAGAACUUUUAGUCCAGCUAGCAGUUUGUUGUAAAGAGCAUGUUUGUUGUAGAUUAUGUCUCUGUCUAGAUAUACUGAUAUAGAUACAUGGAUUUUGAAAAGACAGUGGCUAUGAUUUUUCUAAUUCUUUUCAGCAUAUGAGGAGAAGAGGACCUUUUAGAUGUGUACUCACAUUCUUUGUGGUGGAGAUAAUGUAAUUUUGGUGGUGGUGAGAUUCAACUCUUCUUUCUUAUUUUGU
This 322-nucleotide unclassified non-coding RNA is filed under the name Hevea brasiliensis (rubber tree). Lineage: Eukaryota; Viridiplantae; Streptophyta; Magnoliopsida; Malpighiales; Euphorbiaceae. The record is from RNAcentral.